Molecule: ribosomal RNA, 254 nt
Filed under: uncultured bacterium
Lineage: Bacteria
Description: partial 16S ribosomal RNA
Rfam family: Bacterial small subunit ribosomal RNA
Source: RNAcentral
UACGUAGGGUGCGAGCGUUGUCCGGAUUUAUUGGGCGUAAAGAGCUUGUAGGCGGCUCGUCGCGUCGGGUGUGAAAACUUGCGGCUUAACCGCAAGCCUGCACCCCGAUACGGGCGGGCUAGAGUUCGGCAGGGGAGACUGGAAUUCCUGGUGUAGCGGUGGAAUGCGCAGAUAUCAGGAGGAACACCGGUGGCGAAGGCGGGUCUCUGGGCCGAUACUGACGCUGAGAAGCGAAAGCGUGGGGAGCGAACAGG